This 97-nucleotide non-coding RNA is filed under the name Paenibacillus sp. Its description in RNAcentral is "Glycine sequence". It matches the Rfam family "Glycine riboswitch aptamer". Rfam says of the family: This family represents the bacterial glycine riboswitch. Glycine riboswitches usually consist of two metabolite-binding aptamers domains with similar structures in tandem. Lineage: Bacteria; Bacillati; Bacillota; Bacilli; Caryophanales; Paenibacillaceae. RNAcentral also lists the same sequence under 1 other name. The record is from RNAcentral.
AUGAAGGUAAAGGGAGAGAUUACAGCACUAUCGUAACGCCGAAGGAGUAAGCCGAAGCAUCGGUGAAUCUCUCAGGCAAAAGGACUUUUACCGGACG